Verrucomicrobia subdivision 6 bacterium BACL9 MAG-120924-bin69 is the source of this 116-nucleotide non-coding RNA. The record is from Rfam. NCBI's taxonomy places the organism in Bacteria, Pseudomonadati, Verrucomicrobiota, Verrucomicrobiia, Verrucomicrobiales, Verrucomicrobia subdivision 6.
UCUGGUGGCCUUAGAGUCGUGGUCCCACCCGGUCCCAUAUCGAACCCGGAAGUGAAACGCGGCAUCGCCGAUGGUAGUGCGUCUAUAGGGCACGCGAGAGUAGGUCGUCGCCAGAG